CAGCAGCCGCGGUAAUACGAAGGGACUUAGCGUAGUUCGGAAUUACUGGGCUUAAAGAGUUCGUAGGUGGUUGAAAAAGUUAGUGGUGAAAUCCCAGAGCUUAACUCUGGAACUGCCAUUAAAACUUUUCAGCUAGAGUAUGAUAGAGGAAAGCAGGAUUUCUAGUGUAGAGGUGAAAUUCGUAGAUAUUAGAAAGAAUACCAAUUGCGAAGGCAGCUUUCUGGAUCAUUACUGACACUGAGGAACGAAAGCAUGGGUAGCGAAGAGGAUUAGAUACCCUCGUAGUCCAUGCCGUAAACGAUGUGUGUUAGACGUUGGAAAUUUAUUUUCAGUGUCGCAGCGAAAGCGAUAAACACACCGCCUGGGGAGUACGACCGCAAGGUUAAAACUCAAAUGAAUUGACGGGGACCCGCACAAGUAGUGGAGCAUGUGGUUUAAUUCGAAGAUACGCGCAGAACCUUACCAACACUUGACAUGUUCGUCGCAACUCUAAGAGAUUAGAGUUUUCGGUUCGGCCGGACGAAACACAGGUGCUGCAUGGCUGUCGUCAGCUCGUGUCGUGAGAUGUUGGGUUAAGUCCCGCAACGAGCGCAACCCUCACUUUUAGUUGCCAUCAUUAAGUUGGGCACUCUGAAAGAACUGCCAGUGAUAAGCUGGAGGAAGGUGGGGAUGACGUCAAGUCCUCAUGGCCCUUACGUGUUGGGCUACACACGUGCUACAAUGGUAUCUACAACAGGAAGCAAGACUGCGAAGUUAAGCAAAUCCCUAAAAGAUACCUCAGUUCGGAUUGCACUCUGCAACUCGAGUGCAUGAAGCUGGAAUUACUAGUAAUCGUGGAUCAGCGUGCCACGGUGAAUGCGUUCCCGGGUCUUGUACACACCGCCCGUCACACCAUGGGAGUUGGUUCUACCUUAAGGCAAGGUUUUAAACCCUUGACCACGGUAUAGUCAGCGACUGGGGUG
RNAcentral lists this ribosomal RNA (962 nucleotides) under uncultured bacterium. RNAcentral's name for it is "bacterial SSU rRNA". It matches the Rfam family "Bacterial small subunit ribosomal RNA", at positions 509 to 1482 of the family's 1533-position model. The record is from RNAcentral.